This 301-nucleotide ribosomal RNA is filed under the name uncultured bacterium. Its description in RNAcentral is "partial 16S ribosomal RNA". It matches the Rfam family "Bacterial small subunit ribosomal RNA", at positions 509 to 807 of the family's 1533-position model. The record is from RNAcentral.
CAGCCGCCACGGUAAUACGAAGGGUGCAAGCGUUAAUCGGAAUUACUGGGCGUAAAGCGUGCGUAGGCGGUUUGUUAAGUCUGUUGUGAAAUCCCCGGGCUCAACCUGGGAAUGGCAAUGGAUACUGGCAAGCUAGAGUGUGUUAGAGGAUGGUGGAAUUCCCGGUGUAGCGGUGAAAUGCGUAGAGAUCGGGAGGAACAUCAGUGGCGAAGGCGACUAUCUGGGCCAACACUGACACUGAGGCACGAAAGCGUGGGGAGCAAACAGGAUUAGAUACCCCGGUAGUCCCUGUCUCUUAUAC